UACGUAGGGUGCAGGCGUUAAUCGGAAUUACUGGGCGUAAAGCGUGCGCAGGCGGUGAUGCAAGACAGAUGUGAAAUCCCCGGGCUUAACCUGGGAACUGCAUUUGUGACUGCAUUGCUGGAGUGCGGCAGAGGGGGAUGGAAUUCCGCGUGUAGCAGUGAAAUGCGUAGAUAUGCGGAGGAACACCGACGGCGAAGGCAAUCCCCUGGGCCUGCACUGACGCUCAUGCACGAAAGCGUGGGGAGCAAACAGG
This 253-nucleotide ribosomal RNA is filed under the name uncultured bacterium. RNAcentral's name for it is "partial 16S ribosomal RNA". It matches the Rfam family "Bacterial small subunit ribosomal RNA", at positions 524 to 776 of the family's 1533-position model. The record is from RNAcentral.